RNAcentral lists this ribosomal RNA (477 nucleotides) under uncultured bacterium. RNAcentral's name for it is "bacterial SSU rRNA". It matches the Rfam family "Bacterial small subunit ribosomal RNA", at positions 25 to 518 of the family's 1533-position model. The record is from RNAcentral.
CAGGACGAACGCUGGCGGCGUGCUUAACACAUGCAAGUCGAGCGAUGAAGCUUCUCGGAAGUGGAUUAGCGGCGGACGGGUGAGUAACACGUGGGUAACUUGCCUCAUAGAGGGGAAUAGCCUUCCGAAAGGAAGAUUAAUACCGCAUAAGAUUGUAAUAUCGCAUGAUAUAGCAAUUAAAGGAGUAAUCCGCUAUGAGAUGGACCCGCGUCGCAUUAGCUAGUUGGUGAGGUAACGGCUCACCAAGGCGACGAUGCGUAGCCGACCUGAGAGGGUGAUCGGCCACAUUGGGACUGAGACACGGCCCAGACUCCUACGGGAGGCAGCAGUGGGGAAUAUUGCACAAUGGGGGAAACCCUGAUGCAGCAAACCGCCGCGUGAGUGAUGACGGUCUUCGGAUUGUAAAGCUCUGUCUUCAGGGACGAUAAUGACGGUACCUGAGGAGGAAGCCACGGCUAACUACGUGCCAGCAGCUGC